CGAACGGGUGAGUAAUGCAUCGGAACGUAUCCUUAAGUGGGGGAUAACGCAUCGAAAGAUGCGCUAAUACCGCAUAAUCUCUGAGGAGAAAAGCAGGGGAUCGCAAGACCUUGCGCUUUUGGAGCGGCCGAUGUCUGAUUAGCUAGUUGGUGAGGUAAAGGCUUACCAAGGCUUCGAUCAGUAGCUGGUCUGAGAGGACGACCAGCCACACUGGGACUGAGACACGGCCCAGACUCCUACGGGAGGCAGCAGUGGGGAAUUUUGGACAAUGGGGGAAACCCUGAUCCAGCCAUGCCGCGUGAGUGAAGAAGGCCUUCGGGUUGUAAAGCUCUUUCAGCCGGAACGAAAAGGUUACGGUUAAUACCCGUGACUAAUGACGGUAC
This 383-nucleotide ribosomal RNA is filed under the name uncultured bacterium. RNAcentral describes it as "bacterial SSU rRNA". It matches the Rfam family "Bacterial small subunit ribosomal RNA", at positions 99 to 478 of the family's 1533-position model. The record is from RNAcentral.